This 625-nucleotide ribosomal RNA is filed under the name Streptococcus anginosus. RNAcentral's name for it is "bacterial SSU rRNA". It matches the Rfam family "Bacterial small subunit ribosomal RNA", at positions 371 to 987 of the family's 1533-position model. Lineage: Bacteria; Bacillati; Bacillota; Bacilli; Lactobacillales; Streptococcaceae. The record is from RNAcentral.
AUGGGGGGAACCCUGACCGAGCAACGCCGCGUGAGUGAAGAAGGUUUUCGGAUCGUAAAGCUCUGUUGUUAAGGAAGAACGAGUGUGAGAAUGGAAAGUUCAUACUGUGACGGUACUUAACCAGAAAGGGACGGCUAACUACGUGCCAGCAGCCGCGGUAAUACGUAGGUCCCGAGCGUUGUCCGGAUCUAUUGGGCGUAAAGCGAGCGCAGGCGGUUAGAAAAGUCUGAAGUGAAAGGCAGUGGCUCAACCAUUGUAGGCUUUGGAAACUGUUUAACCUGAGUGCAGAAGGGGAGAGUGGAAUUCCAUGUGUAGCGGUGAAAUGCGUAGAUAUAUGGAGGAACACCGGUGGCGAAAGCGGCUCUCUGGUCUGUAACUGACGCUGAGGCUCGAAAGCGUGGGGAGCGAACAGGAUUAGAUACCCUGGUAGUCCGCGCCGUAAACGAUGAGUGCUAGGUGUUAGGUCCUUUCCGGGACUUAGUGCCGCAGCUAACGCAUUAAGCACUCCGCCUGGGGAGUACGACCGCAAGGUUGAAACUCAAAGGAAUUGACGGGGGCCCGCACAAGCGGUGGAGCAUGUGGUUUAAUUCGAAGCAACGCGAAGAACCUUACCAGGUCUUGACAU